GGUUGAUCCUGCCAGUAGUCAUAUGCUUGUCUCAAAGAUUAAGCCAUGCAUGUCUAAGUAUAAACAACUUUAUACUGUAAAACUGCGUACAGCUCAUUAAAUCAGUCAUUAUUUAUUUGAUGGUACCUUACUACAUGGAUACCCGUAGUAAUUCUAGAGCUAAUACAUGCACAAAGUCGCGACUCUCGGGGAGCGAUGUAUUUAUUAGAUACAAAACCAAUGCAGGCAACUGCUUUUGUGGUGAAUCAUAGUAACUGAUCGAAUCGCAUAGCUUUGCUGGCGAUAGUUCAUU
This 292-nucleotide ribosomal RNA is filed under the name uncultured eukaryote. RNAcentral describes it as "partial 18S ribosomal RNA". It matches the Rfam family "Eukaryotic small subunit ribosomal RNA", at positions 6 to 299 of the family's 1831-position model. The record is from RNAcentral.